RNAcentral lists this ribosomal RNA (703 nucleotides) under Bacillus pumilus. RNAcentral describes it as "bacterial SSU rRNA". It matches the Rfam family "Bacterial small subunit ribosomal RNA", at positions 558 to 1262 of the family's 1533-position model. Lineage: Bacteria; Bacillati; Bacillota; Bacilli; Caryophanales; Bacillaceae. The record is from RNAcentral.
GCGUAAAGGGCUCGCAGGCGGUUUCUUAAGUCUGAUGUGAAAGCCCCCGGCUCAUCCGGGGAGGGUCAUUGGAAACUGGGAAACUUGAGUGCAGAAGAGGAGAGUGGAAUUCCACGUGUAGCGGUGAAAUGCGUAGAGAUGUGGAGGAACACCAGUGGCGAAGGCGACUCUCUGGUCUGUAACUGACGCUGAGGAGCGAAAGCGUGGGGAGCGAACAGGAUUAGAUACCCUGGUAGUCCACGCCGUAAACGAUGAGUGCUAAGUGUUAGGGGGUUUCCGCCCCUUAGUGCUGCAGCUAACGCAUUAAGCACUCCGCCUGGGGAGUACGGUCGCAAGACUGAAACUCAAAGGAAUUGACGGGGGCCCGCACAAGCGGUGGAGCAUGUGGUUUAAUUCGAAGCAACGCGAAGAACCUUACCAGGUCUUGACAUCCUCUGACGACGGGGAGAUAGGGCUUUCCCUUCGGGGACAGAGUGACAGGUGGUGCAUGGUUGUCGUCAGCUCGUGUCGUGAGAUGUUGGGUUAAGUCCCGCAACGAGCGCAACCCUUGAUCUUAGUUGCCAGCAUUCAGUUGGGCACUCUAAGGUGACUGCCGGUGACAAACCGGAGGAAGGUGGGGAUGACGUCAAAUCAUCAUGCCCCUUAUGACCUGGGCUACACACGUGCUACAAUGGACAGAACAAAGGGCUGCAAGACCGCAAGG